This 1515-nucleotide long non-coding RNA is filed under the name Equus asinus (donkey). Its description in RNAcentral is "lncRNA (ENSEASG00005037163.1)". Lineage: Eukaryota; Metazoa; Chordata; Mammalia; Perissodactyla; Equidae. The record is from RNAcentral.
CUUCAGAGUUGGAGUCAUUUCUCACAAAUAGAUCUGUGAAUUAUUGUUAUGUAAGUGAUAAUUGAAGCUAUCUGAAGACAACAAAUGACUUUAGCCUCAUGGAGUGCGUCAGUCACGUUUGCUAGAACUCUUUUGCUGGAGUGAUGGGGCAGAAGCCAGGCUGGAUUGCACUAUUCACAAUAGCCAAGACAUGGAAACAAUCCAAGUGCCGUCAACUGAUGAUUGGAUAAAGAAGAUGUGGUAUAUAUAUACACAAUGGAAUACUACUCAGCCAUAAAAAAGAUAAAAUCAUCCCAUUUGCAACAACGUGGAUGGACCUGGAGGGAAUUAUGCUAAGCAAAAUAAGCCAGAUUGAGAAAGAGAAACACCAGAUGAUUUCACUCAUAUGUGGAAUAUAAACAAACCCACGGAGAAAGAGAAAAGUUCAGUGGUUACCAGGGGAAGGGGGGAGGAGGAUGGGCACAGGGAGUGAAGGGGAGCACUUGUGUGGUGACAGACAAGAAAUAAUGUGCAACUGAAAUUUCACAAUGAUGUAAACUAUUAUGAACUCAAUUUAAAAAAAAAGAUCCAUGAGGAAAGGCAAAAAAAAAAAGGUAAUUUUCCUGAACUUUUAGUCUGUUUUUGAUAGAGGUUAUAACAGGUUUUCUUUACUUUUGAGUGAGUCUUACUUUGGUUGAAUGGAUAACUAAGCAUUGUUUUACAGCGACCUUUGUUUCUCGGCAACAUCAGCAACCCCUUGAUCUUGUUUGACCAAGUGCUUUAAAACUUUUUGAUAUUUCUGAUAAGCCCCCCCAAAAUUCAUAUCCUAAAUGAAGUUUUUAUUUGGACUUCAAAAAAAUUUCUCUGAGAAUUUUCAGAGGACCCCUGGAACUUAAAGAAAUUUGUUCUCUCUUCCUAUAAAGAGGGAGAUACUUAUUAGGCUUGUUUGGUAUGCUAAAUUGCAUGUGAAGCAUUGUCAAGUAAAUGAUGAUAAACCUUCUCAGGUUGUAUUACAUAGGUAAAUAUUAUUCACUAUCUUAAGCCUGCUACCUUCUUUCCAACAUCACAAGAGGAAAAGACCAUGACUGUAUUCUAUUAUCUAAUUCAGCUUAGAGAUGGGUCUUACUUAAACAAUAAGUAAGGAUGCUAUCAAGUUGGAUAUGCUGUCCAGCCUCGAGAAUGCCCACUACUUUCUUUUAACUCUGCUAACCCAGUAAAAGAUUUCCUUCUAAAUAUUCAAAAAAGUCACCACAGAAGGAGAAAUAAAGGUGACAAUAAAAGGGGGAAAACAAUACUUUUGGAUACUUUCUCCCACAGUGACCCAUAAAGCCUGUACUUGUUGCACUAUAUGGCCAAAGUAAAAUUCAGGGAAACUAUUUCAUGAAUCACAAGGCCACUUUCCCCUUUCUAAGGGAGCCUUUGAGGUAUAGCAAUUAGACUUUGUUCAAAUGCCACCAUCUCAAGGAUAAAUAUAUCUUGUAGUGACCUGUAUGUUCUCAUGUUGGGUUGAGGCCUUUCCUUGCAGAAGAGUGAUGG